UACGUGAGGGGCGAACGUUGUUCGGUGUCACUGGGCUUAAAGGGUGCGUAGGUGGUUGUGUAAGUAACGUGUGAAAUCCCUCGGCUUAACCGGGGAACUGCGUCUGAUACUGGAUGGCUAGAGUUUGGGAGAGGGAUGCGGAAUUCCAGGUGUAGCGGUGAAAUUCGUAGAUAUCGGGAGGAACACCGGUGGCGAAGGCGGCGACCUGGGUCGAUACUGACGCUGAUGCGCGAAAGCGUGGGGAGCAAACAGG
This 253-nucleotide ribosomal RNA is filed under the name uncultured bacterium. RNAcentral describes it as "partial 16S ribosomal RNA". It matches the Rfam family "Bacterial small subunit ribosomal RNA", at positions 524 to 776 of the family's 1533-position model. The record is from RNAcentral.